This is a non-coding RNA of Aegilops tauschii subsp. strangulata, 1827 nucleotides long. The record is from RefSeq and is a predicted model, not a curated record. NCBI's taxonomy places the organism in Eukaryota, Viridiplantae, Streptophyta, Magnoliopsida, Poales, Poaceae.
CUCAGCCGUCACCGUUUCUCCCACGGAAGACUAGGCCAAGGACCUCGAUCCGUGGCGAGCAUCGAGGUGCUGUCAUCGUUGUUCGGUGCGGAAGGGGUGUGGUCUGCAGUUCUGUACAGGACCAUCCACCACUCUGUUGAUGUUGCCCUCUCCUCGCAUGGCCGCCGACCAAGGUGAGGUCCAUCUCCUGAACAUUCCUCCAUCAGGUCUGCGCAGCUACUCGAGGAUGCAUCCCCGCAGUUGCCGUCGGCGUCAAGCUUGGAGGGAGCCAUCCCUCUUGGCCCUCAUCUGCCUCACCCUCGCGGUCCUCUGGUCCUGCUCACUGGCCCCACGUCUUCCCUUGAGACGAGAUGAACCGCGCCUGCCUAGGGUUUUUGCCACCAUUGGAGAGAGGCGGGGAACAGGACCAGAGCGAGAUGGCCGAUAGGCUACUUGGGAAACUCCUCGUCAUGGGCGGCAGGGUCAUGGUACAGCCGUACAGGCCUAUGCCAAGCCAUCGUCAGUAUGAAGAAGUAACUCUACCAGAGAACAUCAUGGAUAUGGAGAUGGAGCACCCAUGCUUUUCAUAGAUACAAAUACUGAUACUGUCAGGUUCCGGGGAAGGUAAUCAUUGUCAGUGUGCAAUCUGGAAGUUCAAACUGUGAUUAAAUACAUAGUAAGGGCUGCUACGUCAUAGUUACUAUGACUGACCACAUGUAUUGUCUUUCCUGUCUCCUAGCUUCUGUCUGAACUGCUUGCACUCAUCUUGACAAGGAUUUGGAUGGACGGUAUGUCAAUGUCAACCUAGAUGAUGAUAACUUCUUCUGCACCGAGCAUCGUCAUCAAGCUCCAAGAUCCAUAUAGCAGACAUGUUAGAAGAAAUAAGAUCGACCUUCUGCAGAAAAGAAAAUGAAUUGUGCUAAGUUGCAAUGAUGUUGAUGGGAGAAAUUAUUCAUGACAAGUAUCUCAAAUAUCCCAAAUGUUAGUGUAAUUACAAGUUUUUCUUAGACUGUUGUGUUACAUGUCUUUAAUGUGAUAUGUUGAGAUAUCGCAAUUGUGGGUUGCCAUAUUUUCACGUGGAAGUUUAUCUGGCGAAGCUCUGUGCUUCAUGUAUGCGAGCUUUCCACCAGUAUUAGUUGUAUGUAUAUUCAAGUGUUGCACCAAGUAUUAUGCUCUAUUGCAUUUACCCAACUGACAAGAACUUUAUGUUGGGUAUUGUCAAUGCAAUGCUCUGUCCUGAUCAAUCAACUUGAAUCAAUACCUGGUGCAAACAAAAUUAUUUCUGUGUAUUUUAAUUCUCUCGUAUGUUUGUAAUAUUAGUGGAGACGUGCAUUUGCACGUGCAAGCUUACUAGUAUCAGUAGUAGCAGCAAUGAUGUAUGAAGUGGAUAAGCAUGGGAGAGUGCAAUUUUUUGAACUGAAACUGUAAGGAGAAGUGUAAAUUUCUGACUGGUUCAGCUCUGAUGAAAGGGGUGGUAGAUGACGGAGGUAGCAGUGAGAUUUUGGAGUAGAGAAAAACAAAGAAGAUGGCAAGGAUUCAUGAAGAAAAGUUAAACUAUGGUGCACAUAUAUUAGUUAAGGGGAAAUGCUCCAGGUUCUUCUAAGAAUCAAGGUACAACUUGCACCUCAACAAAUACCACAGUUUGCCACAUUUUAUCAUCGGCUGGAACAAAACGCAAAAUUUUGCAUGCAAGUCCUGGUGAGCCUCGGCUGUUCGCGGUCCAGUUUCGCCUAGCUCAAUCCAAGGGCAAGCACCCGCGCGAGAGAGAGAAGUUCUAGAUGUGCACACACGCCUUGAUGCAGAAGAAACAUCGUGGCAGACGCAAAACAGAGUAUGCAUGCAUAAUCA